This 857-nucleotide ribosomal RNA is filed under the name uncultured archaeon. Its description in RNAcentral is "bacterial SSU rRNA". It matches the Rfam family "Archaeal small subunit ribosomal RNA", at positions 22 to 879 of the family's 1478-position model. The record is from RNAcentral.
GGCCAUUGCUAUCGGGGUCCGACUUAGCCAUGCUAGUCGUACGAGUUCGGACUCGUGGCGAAUAGCUCCGUAACACGUGGCCAAGCUACCCUUCGGAGAGGGAUACCCUCGGGAAACUGAGACUAAUACCUCAUCGGUGACGCCAACUGGAAUGUGGCGUCACUCAAAGGCUCCGGCGCCGAAGGAUGCGGCUGCGGCCGAUUAGGUAGACGGUGGGGUAACGGCCCACCGUGCCGAUAAUCGGUACGGGUUGUGAGAGCAAGAACCCGGAGACGGAAUCUGAGACAAAAUUCCGGGCCCUACGGGGCGCAGCAGGCGCGAAACCUUUACACUGCACGCCAGUGCGAUAAGGGGACCCCGAGUGCGCAGGCAUAGAGCCUGUGCUUUUCUGGACCGUAGGGAGGUCCUGGAAUAAGGGCUGGGCAAGACCGGUGCCAGCCGCCGCGGUAAUACCGGCAGCCCGAGUGAUGGCCGAUCUUAUUGGGCCUAAAGCGUCCGUAGCUGGCCCGUCACGUCCGUCGGGAAAUCUCUCCGCUCAACGGAGAGGCGACCGGCGGAAACUGACGGGCUUGGGACCGGAAGGCGCGACGGGUACGUCCGGGGUAGGAGUGAAAUCCCCGUAAUCCUGGACGGACCGCCGAUGGCGAAAGCACGUCGCGAGGACGGCUCCGACAGUGAGGGACGAAAGCUAGGGUCUCGAACCGGAUUAGAUACCCGGGUAGUCCUAGCCGUAAACGAUGCCUGUUAGGUGUGGCUCCCGCUACGAGCGGGUGCUGUGCCGUAGGGAAGCCGCUAAACAGGCCGCCUGGGAAGUACGUCCGCAAGGAUGAAGCUUAAAGGAAUUGGCGGGGGAGCAC